Molecule: small nuclear RNA, 107 nt
Organism: Moschus moschiferus (Siberian musk deer)
Lineage: Eukaryota; Metazoa; Chordata; Mammalia; Artiodactyla; Moschidae
Source: Ensembl
GUGCUCACUUCGGCAGCACAUAUACUACAGUUGGAACGACACAGAGAAGGUUAGCAUGGCCCCUGCACCAGGAUGACACGCAAAUGUGUGAAGUGUUCCAUAUUUUU